RNAcentral lists this ribosomal RNA (460 nucleotides) under uncultured bacterium. RNAcentral describes it as "partial 16S ribosomal RNA". It matches the Rfam family "Bacterial small subunit ribosomal RNA", at positions 338 to 795 of the family's 1533-position model. The record is from RNAcentral.
CCUACGGGUGGCAGCAGUGAGGAAUAUUGGUCAAUGGGCGUAAGCCUGAACCAGCCAAGUCGCGUGAGGGAUGAAGGUUCUAUGGAUCGUAAACCUCUUUUGUAAGGGAAUAAAGUGCGGGACGUGUCCCGUUUUGUAUGUACCUUAUGAAUAAGCAUCGGCUAACUCCGUGCCAGCAGCCGCGGUAAUACGGAGGAUUCGAGCGUUAUCCGGAUUUAUUGGGUUUAAAGGGUGCGUAGGCGGCCUUUUAAGUCAGCGGUUAAAGGCCGUGGCUGAACCCUAGAGGUGCCGUUGAAACUGGGAGGCUGGAGUAGGAUUGAGGCAGGCGGAAUGCGUGGUGUAGCGGUGAAAUGCUUAGAUAUCACGCAGAACCCCGAUUGCGAAGGCAGCCUGCCAAGCCAUGACUGACGCUGAUGCACGAAAGCGUGGGGAUCAAACAGGAUUAGAUACCCCGGUAGUC